RNAcentral lists this ribosomal RNA (449 nucleotides) under uncultured bacterium. RNAcentral's name for it is "partial 16S ribosomal RNA". It matches the Rfam family "Bacterial small subunit ribosomal RNA", at positions 28 to 523 of the family's 1533-position model. The record is from RNAcentral.
GACGAACGCUGGCGGCAGGCCUAACACAUGCAAGUCGAACGAACCGUUUACGGUGAGUGGCGCACGGGUGAGUAACACGUGGGAAUAUACAUUUCGGUAAGGAAUAACGUAGAGAAAUUUACGCUAAUACCUUAUAAUGACUACGGUCCAAAGAUUUAUCGCCGAAGGAUUAGCCCGCGUUAGAUUAGGUAGUUGGUAGGGUAAUGGCCUACCAAGCCUACGAUCUAUAGCUGGUCUUAGAGGAUGAUCAGCCACACUGGAACUGAGACACGGUCCGGAAUCCUACGGGAGGGAGCAAGGAGGAAUAUUGCGCAAUGGGGGAAACCCUGACGCAGCCAUGCCGCGUGAGUGACGAAGGCCUUAGGGUUGUAAAGCUCUUUCAGAUGUAAAGAUAAUGACGGUAACAUCAGAAGAAGCUCCGGCUAAAUUCGUGCCAGCCGCCGCAGUAA